CGGGCUGUAGCGCAGUUUGGUAGCGCGCUGCUUUGGGAGCAGAAUGUCGCAGGUUCAAAUCCUGUCAGCCCGACCG
RNAcentral lists this transfer RNA (76 nucleotides) under Bifidobacterium pseudocatenulatum. Its description in RNAcentral is "tRNA-Pro". It matches the Rfam family "tRNA". Rfam says of the family: Transfer RNA (tRNA) molecules are approximately 80 nucleotides in length. The record is from RNAcentral. Lineage: Bacteria; Bacillati; Actinomycetota; Actinomycetes; Bifidobacteriales; Bifidobacteriaceae.